AGAAACUUGUUCAUUUUUUAUGUAGUAUGGCUAGAUCUGUUAUCAAUGCAGUAAAAAACACAAUAAUACAGAUUUACUUUGAUUGUCCAUUCAAGUCUAAUUCCAAUGAGCGAUGCAAUUUACAUCAAUAUGUAAAAUACACCAUUCUAAAUGUAGCUUGAUACUAUUAAUCUAUGUA
Juglans microcarpa x Juglans regia is the source of this 178-nucleotide long non-coding RNA. RefSeq lists it as uncharacterized. The transcript has 2 exons. The record is from RefSeq and is a predicted model, not a curated record. NCBI's taxonomy places the organism in Eukaryota, Viridiplantae, Streptophyta, Magnoliopsida, Fagales, Juglandaceae.